GGUCCCGUAGCUUAAUGGAUAAAGCCUCGGUCUUCUAAACCGAUGAUUCCGCGUUCGAAUCGCGGCGGGAUCGCCA
RNAcentral lists this transfer RNA (76 nucleotides) under Phyllobacteriaceae bacterium. RNAcentral describes it as "tRNA-Arg". It matches the Rfam family "tRNA". Rfam says of the family: Transfer RNA (tRNA) molecules are approximately 80 nucleotides in length. Their secondary structure includes four short double-helical elements and three loops (D, anti-codon, and T loops). The record is from RNAcentral. Lineage: Bacteria; Pseudomonadati; Pseudomonadota; Alphaproteobacteria; Hyphomicrobiales; Phyllobacteriaceae.